Molecule: long non-coding RNA, 935 nt
Filed under: Drosophila guanche
Lineage: Eukaryota; Metazoa; Arthropoda; Insecta; Diptera; Drosophilidae
Source: RNAcentral
CUUGAUGGUGCAGUCAUUGCAUGUCAACUUCCAGACAAAGGGUCAGUUUCCAAUCAGGAAAUGGUGCUCGAAAUGCCUUGAAAGGAGAAAGCGAAUCCGACUGUGAAAAGCUAAUGGAGUUUAAGGAUGGGACAAACAUCGCUAUCUGAUUCCAAGCUCUGAUUUCACAAAGCGGAGCAUACUAUACAUAUUGAGCCGAAUGCCUGCAGCAGUCGCUGCACUUCGAAUGGAUGAAAGUCAUAUCGCAGCUCUCACUUGUUACAUUCUUGACGCCAGUACGGCCGCCUAUGGUGCUUGCGUAGUUGUCAGAUCCGAACUGCAGUGGUAUUUUUAUCACAUUUGCUGUGCUCUAAAUCCAGGGUAGCCCCGUUAAAGACGCUCACUAUCCCAAAGCUUGAGCUGUCAGCUGCUCCUUUAUUAUCAGAACUCAUUGGGACCAUCGCCAAGCGCAUUCAAUUCGAAUGUAAAUAUCAUUGGUGGCCGGACCUAAGAGUAGUGCUAGCAUGGAUUCCUGAAUCGUUUAACGUUUUUGUGUCCAACAUAGUAUUACAAAUACAUGAGCUGACAAAGGGAAUGACCUGGCAUCAUGUACCCUCUCAACUGAACACUGCGGACAUUCUAUCAAAAGGAUGCACUCCUCUGGAACUUCUGGACUCGCAACUAUGGCAUAAUUCAUACAUACGUCGCUCAUCCCUUUGAGCUUCCGGAGCGACGACACAAGGUGCUGGCGCUAUUAACCAAGACGGAUCUAACAGAAUCUUGUAAAUUCCACUCUAAAGGGAUCUGAUUCUGAGCUUUUAAAAGGAUCACUCACUCCAUUUGAAAUCAAAUGCGGAACGCUUCUACUAAUAAUAAACAACGACUUCAGAAUUCGGACUUGGAAUAGUCUUAAUCUGGUCGUUGAUAUGCAAUGACUGAACCAUCAAGUCGCCAAG